UACGGGGGGAGCAAGCGUUGUUCGGAUUUACUGGGCGUAAAGGGCGCGUAGGCGGUCGUGUCAUGCCACUUGUGAAAUCUCCGGGCUUAACCCGGAGCGGUCAAGUGAUACUGUCGGACUAGAGUACAGAAGGGGCAACUGGAAUUCUCGGUGUAGCGGUGAAAUGCGUAGAUAUCGAGAGGAACACCUGCGGCGAAGGCGGGUUGCUGGGCUGACACUGACGCUGAGGCGCGAAAGCCAGGGGAGCAAACGGG
This 254-nucleotide ribosomal RNA is filed under the name uncultured bacterium. RNAcentral's name for it is "partial 16S ribosomal RNA". It matches the Rfam family "Bacterial small subunit ribosomal RNA", at positions 524 to 776 of the family's 1533-position model. The record is from RNAcentral.